GAGGGGUCCCCGCAAAGGAGCCCUGUGAACCUGGUCAGGGCCUAACCGCAGCAGCCAUAAGCAGCCAGCUCUUUGUGCGGCUGGGCCCCUCAUU
This 94-nucleotide signal recognition particle RNA is filed under the name Pirellulales bacterium. RNAcentral describes it as "signal recognition particle sRNA small type". It matches the Rfam family "Bacterial small signal recognition particle RNA". Rfam says of the family: The signal recognition particle (SRP) is a universally conserved ribonucleoprotein involved in the co-translational targeting of proteins to membranes. Archaeal SRP consists of a 7S RNA and homologues of the eukaryotic SRP19 and SRP54 proteins. The record is from RNAcentral. Lineage: Bacteria; Pseudomonadati; Planctomycetota; Planctomycetia; Pirellulales.